This is a long non-coding RNA of Bactrocera latifrons, 792 nucleotides long. RefSeq lists it as uncharacterized. The transcript has 3 exons. NCBI's taxonomy places the organism in Eukaryota, Metazoa, Arthropoda, Insecta, Diptera, Tephritidae. The record is from RefSeq and is a predicted model, not a curated record.
UGGAUAUUUCGCCAACUGUGUUGAAAUAGUAUUUGUAUAUAUUUAUUACGUACACAUUUUGCUGCAUUUGACCUUUGAAGCGGUCUUAAUUUUGAAAGUUCAUAAGUAGUUUGCUGAGAUAUGUUUUGAGUUUGUGCUAUGAAAUUAUGAAGAUAACAACAAGCCAAAACUAAUUUCGAUGCUUUUUAUGGAUUCAAAUGUAUCCUCAGUGCAAGAGCGUGAAGUCGGCUGCACAAAAUUCCGAACGCUUUUUCAACGACCCGUCUAGCUCUCGAUAAUCUGUAAUUGAAAAUAGUUUCGUCUGCAGUGAAAAUACAUCAUCUCCAACAAAAACAAAUAGAAUUUCUUCCUCACUCAUAGAAACUAUUGCCGCUUGAGGAAUAUAUAAGAAUACUACAGCAUUAUAUACUCUUCUGUUUGCAUCAAUUUCAACGGCUAUGAACUCAUAUUUCGCAUUAGCGAUUACCAUCAUAACAAUAGAAUGAAUUUUAAAGCAACAGACAACAAUUCAGAAUUUCUUGAAAAUGCCAUACAACAUCUAGACCAAGUCAAGAAUUGCAAGUGUAUUCCCUUUAGUUCACCAACGCGGAGGCUUUUAAGACUCUAAUGGGUAUUAAUGAAUGGUAAAUAGUCAGGGAAUUGCGACCAGUUCGUUGGUGGAAUGGGUGAAAACAGUGAGUGAUUUACCAAUGCCUGAUGUGAUAAGCCACAACUUGAUGAAUAUAUUGAUAAUAUCUUAUACAUAUAUAAAAAUAAAUCGGAAAAUGUGUUGCUAAGCGCAUAACUCAACAA